AGUGAACGCUGGCGGCAUGCCUAACACAUGCAAGUCGAACGGCAGCGCGGGCUUCGGCCUGGCGGCGAGUGGCGGACGGGUGAGGAAUGCAUCGGAAUCUGCCCAGUCGUGGGGGAUAACGUAGGGAAACUUACGCUAAUACCGCAUACGACCGAGAGGUGAAAGCGGGGGACCUUCGGGCCUCGCGCGAUUGGAUGAGCCGAUGCCGGAUUAGCUAGUUGGCGGGGUAAAGGCCCACCAAGGCGACGAUCCGUAGCUGGUCUGAGAGGAUGAUCAGCCACACUGGGACUGAGACACGGCCCAGACACCUACGGGAGGCAGCAGUGGGGAAUAUUGGACAAUGGGCGCAAGCCUGAUCCAGCUAUGCCGCGUGGGUGAAGAAGGCCUUCGGGUUGUAAAGCCCUUUUUCGUACGGGAAGAAAAGACGCUGGGGUUAAAUACCCUGGCGGGAAUGACGGUACCGUAAGAAUAAGCACCGGCUAACUUCGUGCCAGCAGCCGCGGUAAUACGAAGGGUGCAAGCGUUACUCGGAAUUACUGGGCGUAAAGCGUGCGUAGGCGGUUUGUUAAGUCCGUUGUGAAAGCCCUGGGCUCAACCUGGGAACUGCAGUGGAUACUGGCAGGCUAGAGUGCGGUAGAGGAUGGUGGAAUUCCCGGUGUAGCGGUGAAAUGCGUAGAGAUCGGGAGGAACAUCGAUGGCGAAGGCAGCCAUCUGGACCAGCACUGACGCUGAGGCACGAAAA
Molecule: ribosomal RNA, 742 nt
Filed under: uncultured bacterium
Lineage: Bacteria
Description: bacterial SSU rRNA
Rfam family: Bacterial small subunit ribosomal RNA
Source: RNAcentral